This is a long non-coding RNA of Cervus elaphus (red deer), 208 nucleotides long. RefSeq lists it as uncharacterized. NCBI's taxonomy places the organism in Eukaryota, Metazoa, Chordata, Mammalia, Artiodactyla, Cervidae. The record is from RefSeq and is a predicted model, not a curated record. The transcript has 4 exons.
UAGAACACUUCCUAACACCAUACACAAAGAUAAACUCAAAAUGGAUUAAAGAUCUAAAUGUAAGACCAGAAACUAUAACACUCUUAGAGGAAAACAUAGGCAGAAUACUCAAUGACACAAAUCAAAGCAAAGAUCCUCUAGGACCCAUAUCCUAGAGUAAUGGAAAUAAAAACAAAAGUAAAUAAAUGGGACCUACUUUUGAACAAUG